UUAGCCUACGGGAGGCAGCAGUUAUUCCUCUUGGUCCCUUUCCUGGAGGCUGAACCAGCCAAGUCGCGUGAGGGAAGACGGCCCUACGGGUUGUAAACCUCUUUUGUCAGGGAGCAAGGGGCGGGUCGAGACCUGCUGUGAGAGUACCUGAAGAAAAAGCAUCGGCUAACUCCGUGCCAGCAGCCGCGGUAAUACGGAGGAUGCGAGCGUUAUCCGGAUUUAUUGGGUUUAAAGGGUGCGCAGGCGGAGGCACAAG
This 256-nucleotide ribosomal RNA is filed under the name uncultured bacterium. Its description in RNAcentral is "partial 16S ribosomal RNA". It matches the Rfam family "Bacterial small subunit ribosomal RNA", at positions 334 to 587 of the family's 1533-position model. The record is from RNAcentral.